This 253-nucleotide ribosomal RNA is filed under the name uncultured bacterium. RNAcentral's name for it is "partial 16S ribosomal RNA". It matches the Rfam family "Bacterial small subunit ribosomal RNA", at positions 524 to 776 of the family's 1533-position model. The record is from RNAcentral.
UACGGAGGGAGCUAGCGUUAUUCGGAAUUACUGGGCGUAAAGCGCACGUAGGCGGCUUUGUAAGUUAGAGGUGAAAGCCUGGAGCUCAACUCCAGAAUUGCCUUUAAGACUGCAUCGCUUGAAUCCAGGAGAGGUGAGUGGAAUUCCGAGUGUGGAGGUGAAAUUCGUAGAUAUUCGGAAGAACACCAGUGGCGAAGGCGGCUCACUGGACUGGUAUUGACGCUGAGGUGCGAAAGCGUGGGGAGCAAACAGG